GGCUCAGGAUGAACGCUGGCGGCGUGCCUAAUACAUGCAAGUCGAGCGAGAAUCUGAUGAACGGAGAUUCGUCGAAGUGAUUCAGAGGAAAGCGGCGGACGGGUGAGUAACGCGUAGGCAACCUGCCCUUAGCAGAGGGAUAGCCAUUGGAAACGAUGAUUAAAACCUCAUAAUGCUGUUUUAACACAUGUUGAGACAGCCAAAGAUUUAUCGGCUAAGGAUGGGCCUGCGUCUGAUUAACUAGUUGGUGAGGGUAACGGCCCACCAAGGUGACGAUCAGUAGCCGACCUGAGAGGGUGAUCGGCCACAUUGGAACUGAGACACGGUCCAAACUUCUACGGAAGGCAGCAGUAAGGAAUCUUGCACAAGUGGGGAAACCCUGAUGCAGCAACGCCGCGUGAACGAUGAAGGCCGUUAGGGUUAGUAAAGUUCUGAUCGUGGGGAAGAAGGAAGUGACGGUACCCAGGAGAAAGCCCGGCUAAUACGUGCC
RNAcentral lists this ribosomal RNA (490 nucleotides) under uncultured bacterium. RNAcentral describes it as "bacterial SSU rRNA". It matches the Rfam family "Bacterial small subunit ribosomal RNA", at positions 21 to 509 of the family's 1533-position model. The record is from RNAcentral.